RNAcentral lists this unclassified non-coding RNA (240 nucleotides) under soil metagenome. RNAcentral's name for it is "partial contains 5.8S ribosomal RNA, internal transcribed spacer 2, and large subunit ribosomal RNA". The record is from RNAcentral.
AACCUAGCACACCUGCGGUGUGUACCUGCGGAAGGAUCAUUACAGAGUUGCAAAACUCCCUAAACCAUUGUGAACGUUACCUAAACCGUUGCUUCGGCGGGCGGCCCGGGUCCUUCCCGGCGCCCCUCGGCCCUCGCGGGCGCCCGCCGGAGGUAAACCAAACUAUUGCAUUGUAUGGCCUCUCUGAGUCUUCUGUACUGAAUAAGUCAAAACUUUUAACAACGGAUCUCAGAUCGGAAG